RNAcentral lists this ribosomal RNA (492 nucleotides) under uncultured bacterium. Its description in RNAcentral is "partial 16S ribosomal RNA". It matches the Rfam family "Bacterial small subunit ribosomal RNA", at positions 30 to 507 of the family's 1533-position model. The record is from RNAcentral.
CGAACGCUGGCGGCGUGCUUAACACAUGCAAGUCGAACGGAAAGGCCUGCUUUCCCUUGUGGAUUGCGGGUACUCGAGUGGCGAACGGGUGAGUAACACGUGAGUGAUCUGCCCCCAACUUGGGUAUAAGCCCGGGAAACUGGGUCUAAUUCCCGAUAGGACUGCAGGGUGGUGCCUGUGGUGGAAAACGAUUUUCUAGUGGUUGGGGAUGAGCUCGCGGCCUAUCAGCUUGUUGGUGGGGUAAUGGCCUACCAAGGCGGCGACGGGUAGCCGGCCUGAGAGGGUGGACGGCCACAUUGGGACUGGGAUACGGCCCAGACUCCUACGGGAGGCAGCAGUGGGGAAUAUUGCACAAUGGGCGGAAGCCUGAUGCAGCGACGCCGCGUGGGGGAUGACGGCCUUCGGGUUGUAAACUCCUUUCGACCGCGAGGAAGCCACCUGGUUGGAAGGGUGGUGACGGUAGUGGUAGAAGAAGCACCGGCUAACUACGUG